UCCCUGGUGGCUCAGAUGGUAAAGCAUCUGCCUGCAAUGCAGGAGACCUGGGUUUGAUCCCUGGGUUGGGAA
Ovis aries (sheep) is the source of this 72-nucleotide transfer RNA. It matches the Rfam family "tRNA". From Rfam's summary of the family: Transfer RNA (tRNA) molecules are approximately 80 nucleotides in length. Their secondary structure includes four short double-helical elements and three loops (D, anti-codon, and T loops). Further hydrogen bonds mediate the characteristic L-shaped molecular structure. tRNAs have two regions of fundamental functional importance: the anti-codon, which is responsible for specific mRNA codon recognition, and the 3' end, to which the tRNAs corresponding amino acid is attached (by aminoacyl-tRNA synthetases). tRNAs cope with the degeneracy of the genetic code in two manners: having more than one tRNA (with a specific anti-codon) for a particular amino acid; and 'wobble' base-pairing, i.e. permitting non-standard base-pairing at the 3rd anti-codon position. The record is from Rfam. NCBI's taxonomy places the organism in Eukaryota, Metazoa, Chordata, Mammalia, Artiodactyla, Bovidae.